This 497-nucleotide ribosomal RNA is filed under the name uncultured bacterium. Its description in RNAcentral is "partial 16S ribosomal RNA". It matches the Rfam family "Bacterial small subunit ribosomal RNA", at positions 28 to 507 of the family's 1533-position model. The record is from RNAcentral.
GAUGAACGCUGGCGGCGUGCCUAAUACAUGCAAGUCGAGCGAACGGACGAGAAGCUUGCUUCUCUGAUGUUAGCGGCGGACGGGUGAGUAACACGUGGAUAACCUACCUAUAAGACUGGGAUAACUUCGGGAAACCGGAGCUAAUACCGGAUAAUAUUUUGAACCGCAUGGUUCAAAAGUAAAAGACGGUCUUGCUGUCACUUAUAGAUGGAUCCGCGCUGCAUUAGCUAGUUGGUAAGGUAGCGGCUUACCAAGGCAACGAUGCAUAGCCGACCUGAGAGGGUGAUCGGCCACACUGGAACUGAGACACGGUCCAGACUACUACGGGAGGCAGCAGUAGGGAAUCUUCCGCAAUGGGCGAAAGCCUGACGGAGCAACGCCGCGUGAGUGAUGAAGGUCUUCGGAUCGUAAAACUCUGUUAUUAGGGAAGAACAUAUGUGUAAGUAACUGUGCACAUCUUGACGGUACCUAAUCAGAAAGCCACGGCUAACUACGUG